GUGGGGAAUCUUCCGCAAUGGACGAAAGUCUGACGGAGCGACGCCGCGUGAGUGAAGAAGGCCUUCGGGUCGUAAAGCUCUGUCAUCAGGGACGAACGGCCGGUGGAGUGGAAAGCCACCGGAUUGACGGUACCUGAGAAGGAAGUCACGGCUAACUACGUGCCAGCAGCCGCGGUAAUACGUAGGUGGCAAGCGUGGUCCGGAAUUAUUGGGCGUAAAGCGCGCGCAGGUGGGAUCUUAAGUCCAUUUUUAAAGUUCGGAGCUCAACUCCGUGAUGGGAUGGAAACUGGGAUUCUUGAGUACCGGAGAGGAAAGCGGAAUUCCCCGUGUAGCGGUGAAAUGCGUAGAUAUGGGGAGGAACACCAGUGGCGAAGGCGACUUUCUGGACGGUGUCUGACACUGAGGCGCGAAAGCCAGGGGAGCGAACGGGAUUAGAAACCCGUGUAGUCC
Molecule: ribosomal RNA, 450 nt
Filed under: uncultured bacterium
Lineage: Bacteria
Description: partial 16S ribosomal RNA
Rfam family: Bacterial small subunit ribosomal RNA
Source: RNAcentral